RNAcentral lists this unclassified non-coding RNA (567 nucleotides) under Hypocreales sp. P18. Its description in RNAcentral is "sequence contains ITS1, 5.8S rRNA gene, ITS2". The stretch from base 180 to 333 matches the Rfam family "5.8S ribosomal RNA". The record is from RNAcentral. Lineage: Eukaryota; Fungi; Ascomycota; Sordariomycetes; Hypocreales.
GGGAUCAUUACAAAACGAGUGCCUCCAGGCUCUCCAACCCACUGUGAACAUACCUAUCGUUCCCUCGGCGGGCUCAGCGCACCGGCGCCUUCGGGCCCGGGGCGUCCGCCGGGGACAACCAAACUCUGAAUUUUAUGGUGUAUUCUGAGGGGCGAAAGCCCGUAAAACAAAUAAAUCAAAACUUUCAACAACGGAUCUCUUGGCUCUGGCAUCGAUGAAGAACGCAGCGAAAUGCGAUAAGUAAUGUGAAUUGCAGAAUUCAGUGAAUCAUCGAAUCUUUGAACGCACAUUGCGCCCGCCGGCACUCCGGCGGGCAUGCCUGUCCGAGCGUCAUUUCAACCCUCAGGGCCCCUUCCGGGGGGCACCUGGUGUUGGGGAUCAGCGGCCCUAGCGGCCCCUGCCCCCUAAAUUCAGUGGCGGUCGCGCCGCAGCCUCCCCUGCGUAGUAGCACACCUCGCACCGGAGAGCGGAACGACCACGCCGUGAAACCCCCAACUUAUCAAGGUGACCUCGAUCAGUAGGAAUACCCGCUGAACUUAAGCAUAUCAAUAAGGCGGAGGAAAUUUU